This is a long non-coding RNA of Canis lupus familiaris (dog), 4311 nucleotides long. RefSeq lists it as uncharacterized. The record is from RefSeq and is a predicted model, not a curated record. The transcript has 4 exons. NCBI's taxonomy places the organism in Eukaryota, Metazoa, Chordata, Mammalia, Carnivora, Canidae.
UGGAAAGUAGACAAGCCAUCACAAAUACCAAAGAUGAAUAAGGAAAUUAAUAAGAUCAAAGUAAUAGCUAUAAAUAAAACUUCAUAUCCUGAGCAGAGAAUACCUACAUUAAACAGUCACUAAAUUUCUGGCAUCAGAAAAGGAAACCAAAGGAGACCCCAGACAGCCCCAGGAGCCAGGGGCAACCAGACAUGGGUACCUGUGGAGCCCCUUAAGCAGGUUCACUGCCUCUGAAGGAAGGUUCUGGUUAUUGUUUUAUUCGGAAGCAUUUGCAAAAGUCCUGCAUCUUCAGGAGAUCCAUGGAAAAGACUCUGACAACAACUCCAGAUUUCAAGUUUCUGAAAACUUGAAAAGAUCAUGGAACUGAACUGGCACACCUGCUGCCACCUUCUCAACUGAUGUCUAUCUCAAACUGUGCUGACAGAUGUGAAGGAGACUUCCACGGUGGGGCAAGGACCCACAGUCUAAAUCAUAUCAUUCAAAGAUGCUGCUCUUACCACAAAACAGGACAGACUCAAAAGGGGUUGACCAGAUCAAAUUGAUUUUCUUCCUGCCUUUGAAUGAUAAAAUGUUCAAGCUCUAGGAGGACACAGCUGGCUAGGGAAUGUUGUUUUAGAUGGAAUGAGGAAUGGAGAUUCUCACUUCUUCCCAACUGUGGGUGAAGUAGGGAAAGGAACAUAAUGGAAGUGGGUACCUUGAAAAAUAUGGGGUUUCUGAGAGAUGAAACAAAUUUGUUAUUUCUUGGAUGUAGUCUGCGAGCAGAAACCUCAGAGAUGUACCCCAUACAAUGAGUUCUGGGGAAAGAGUAGAGAGAAUAAAUAAAUAUUUGGACAAGAGCCCAGUUGUAUCUAGCAUUCCCUAUCACCUGGGAACAGCAUCGAAGGGGUCCAUACCCUUACUAUGGCUCCAGGGUAAACCGUGAAAAUUAGCUUGGUGAGUGAGCUGACGAUCCUCCUGAGAGGCCACCUCGCCCUAAGAAAGUUACAGUGUGAGGAGAUUUGCUUUACAGUGAUGCAAGGGGGACCUUUAGAAGGGAGCUGAAGGCUGGCAACCCCAGCACACUGUAGGGGCUACCACUGUGUCACCUUCAGGAGUCAGCACUACAGACCACUGAGGCCAUAGAAUAAUCAAAAGAAAAGGAAUGCCACUCUCCCCACCAUGGGUUUGUGGAUGAUUAUCUGAGUGAACUUCUCCUUCCCAGACUCAUAUUCCCUCCAGAAGAGGAUGUCAGAAACUCAGAGUCAAAAUUUGAAUUUGAUUGAGACCGAAUUAGUAAUCCUGAUAAUUGGUUCAUUAAACUGAAUUUCCCCCAAUACUAUUUUUCUGGAGGCAGAUCAAUAGCUCCUCUGCUCCUCACUCAAGCCCUUGGCUGUAGAAUUUAAACCAGUGACACAAAUCUGGGAUCAGAUGGAUUCACUCUGUAUCCCAGAAACCAGCUUUAAAGACAGUAUGUGGCAAGAGCCCUAACCUCUGACUCACACAAAAAUCCUGCUGACACACCAAAAAUCACUAUUGCAUUACCCGUGAUGGCUCAGGCUUUCUCAGUAUUUCUUCCAGCAGCACAGAACACAUUUUGAAGAUUCCAUUUAAAAUGGAGGAGCAGUUUCAGCACAACAUUUUAAAUAUCAACUAUGUAUUGAAUUGAGAUCAGUUUUUAAAUAUGUCAAUGAAUUUUGUAUUCCCGAGGACGGUAAACAGGCUGGGAAUAGAGCCAGAACAGAGAGAUGACUUGUAUCUCCAUAUCUGUCCCAGAGGGGAAAUGCUACUAAGCGGACCGUGCACUCAUGGGAGCCUGGAACGAGUGUUUUGGGAUUCACAAAACCACCCUGGAUAAUUAGGGGGCCCCUGCAUCCCCGAACCACAGCUUUGAAAGAAUCUGCUAAGGAGCCCCACACGCUUCAAGAUCUUUUCUUAACCUUUAGAGAAAGAAUCACCCAGGGAGCUUAUUAAACAUGAAGAUUCUGAUUUAGCUGUCCUGGGAUUCUGCAUUUCUUAACAAGCAGAGCCACCAUCAGAGUAGAGACCGCAUGGAGGACUUGGUUAAUGAGUUCUGUGCGCACAGCUUGAACUGCCUGGUCUGAAGACUUCUCAGUGUGGCACCUCAAUCACUGUCAGCUCCUUGCACUGAGGCACACUCGACGGCCUCGGCAGGGCCCUGCUCCCCAUGCCGGGCCUUCAUCAGCACAAUUAAUCACUUCUCUUCUUUGCAAGUUCUCCGCUCAUUUGUCAGGAUUUCCAUGUUUUGACACCAAAGAACCACAGUCCUCCAAUUGUUUGGGAUAGCAUUUUCCCAUUCUAGAGCACACCUGCCAUCUGCUGGCCAGAACUUAUCUCCAAGAUACAGGGAAAGAAAAGCCAUCAUUUGUUUCUGCCUUGCGCCCCCUUGCUCCUCGAGGCACCCCCAUGGUUAACAACUCCAGGGUGUGUGGUCAGUGUAAAAUGUAAAAGGUGAUGUUGCCACCCUGUGCCCUGCUGCCUUCCUUAUCUGGCCGGAUUGGAGAGAGUGCGUUUGAGGGAUCCAUUCUAGGAACGCCUUGGAUACUGAGGUCUACCUCAGGUUUGCAGGAGGUUAUGUUCUCCUCCAAGUGGGUUUGAUGUCAGUGCCUAAGGGAAGCAGGCUCUAGAGGAGCUGGGGCUCCCUGGGACUGACGUCUACUUUAGGGAUGAUCCAAGACAAGGUCGAAGAAAUCAGAUCCUGUGCUCUGCAACACUGCAAUAGAAGACAUUCUAUCAACAUUAUUUAGUAAGAGAGAGUAAUUAAUACAUGAAUAUUCUCAAACAAGGGGUCUAGGGUUUGCUCCUUUUACAGAGAAGCCAUGUGAACCUAAAUGGACAAACUGGCACAAGCUUAGGACAUUCUUUGGCUUUUCCUGGUGCAGUGGGCACAACCGUGUUUGCACAAGUGUAAAUUGUGCAUGUCCUAUACUCACUCUCAGAGACUGGAACAGGCUGUGUGUGCAGGCCGGGGGGUGGUGGUAUAGGGGCGGUGGGAACUACUCCUGUUUGUAUCGAAAUCUGGAAUAUACCAAACUCUUAUUCCAGUUAUGAGAAAAUAAAAAACGAGGCUGGGAAAAAAACAUCCAGAAGCGAUUUAGAUCAUCAAGGCUCUCACUUCCAUUUUUAUUCUGACACUUCUUUCAAUGGCUCCGAGCCUCAAUCUCUUCUGUUGCAAACUGAAAGUUUCACACCUCUCUCACAAGAUGGUAGUUGAGAUGGAAUGAGAGAGCUUGUGGAAGUGGAAGGGUUUCAAGUGAUGAAAUGUAGAAAGUGUGAUUGUGUCUGUUGGGUUCUAGUGGCCUGAGACAGCUCCAAGGAAGGCCAGAUGGACAGGUCCAGGUAUGGGGUUGAGGAGAGAGUGCUAUCCAUGGGGAUCCACUGGGAGUAUUUUUUUCUUUUUUAGAUUUUAAAAAUCUAUUUAUUCAUGAGAGACACAGAGAGAGAGGCAGAGGGAGAAGCAGGUCCCUGUGGGGAGCUCCAUGCAAGACUUGAUCCCCAGACACUAGGAUCACGCCCCGAGCCAAAGGCAGAUGCUCAACCGCUAAGUCACCCAGGCGUCCCCACUGGGAGUCUUUCUGAAGAACUCAAAAAAUGGCUCUACAGUUGUGUAUUUUAUGUGUUGAUGAUAAUAUGCAAGAAGAGAGAGGGAGGGGGAGAGAGAGGCAAAGCAUAAAGCCGACUCUUACCUCCAGAGAACUGAGGGCUACCAGAGGAGAGGUAGAAGGAUGGGUUAAAUCCCUGAUAGGUAAUAAUGAGGGACCUUUGUUUUGAUGAGCCCUGGGCAUUGUGUGGAAGUAACAAAUCACAGGAUUCUACACCUGAAACCAAUAUCACACUGUAUAUUGACUGGAAUUUAAAUGGAAACCUGGGAGAAAAAAAAUAAAAAGAAAACUUUUCUAAGGACUGAGUUUGGAAUUCAUCAAAAAGUCUUAGGAUCGUUGUAUUAAAAAAUAAAACCAUGGCAGGAAGUACAGUGACACUAUUCUCUUAAUUCUCAAGUGUUGACUGUAAAUGUUUUAGCCUUAAAAAAAUACAUUUAGAAAGUUGUGUUGACUGCUAUUUCAUUUGUACUGACUGAUAAAGUUUCGAAUCUAGCCUAGCCAUUGUUUUAUUAUUCAGGUAAUUAUCUAAACAGGGUUUCAGUAACCUUGGUGUGAAUUCCAAUGUGAGGGAUUUUAGCACUUAUUUCAUAAUCAGAAACUAAUUAACAAAUUUAAUUAGCCUAAGAAGAAGGCCUUCUUUCUUCUCUUUGUCAGGAACUUGAAAACAGUUAUGUGUAGUAUCAGUGAAACUGCCGGAGUCUUGAAUCUCAUU